Molecule: ribosomal RNA, 253 nt
Filed under: uncultured bacterium
Lineage: Bacteria
Description: partial 16S ribosomal RNA
Rfam family: Bacterial small subunit ribosomal RNA
Source: RNAcentral
GACGUAGGAGGCAAGCGUUGUCCGGAAUCAUUGGGCGUAAAGCGCGUGUAGGCGGCCAGGUAAGUCCGUUCUGAAAGCCCGGGGCUCAACCCCGGGAGGCGGAUGGAUACUGCUUGGCUCGAGUCCGGAAGAGGCGAGUGGAAUUCCCGGUGUAGCGGUGAAAUGCGCAGAUAUCGGGAGGAACACCAAUGGCGAAGGCAGCUCGCUGGGACGGUACUGACGCUGAGGCGCGAAAGCGUGGGGAGCAAACAGG